RNAcentral lists this ribosomal RNA (253 nucleotides) under uncultured bacterium. RNAcentral describes it as "partial 16S ribosomal RNA". It matches the Rfam family "Bacterial small subunit ribosomal RNA", at positions 524 to 776 of the family's 1533-position model. The record is from RNAcentral.
UACGUAGGUGGCAAGCGUUAUCCGGAAUUAUUGGGCGUAAAGAGCGCGCAGGUGGUUAAUUAAGUCUGAUGUGAAAGCCCACGGCUUAACCGUGGAGGGUCAUUGGAAACUGGUUGACUUGAGUGCAGAAGAGGGAAGUGGAACUCCAUGUGUAGCGGUGAAAUGCGUAGAUAUAUGGAAGAACACCAGUGGCGAAAGCGGCUCUCUGGUCUGUAACUGACGCUGAGGUUCGAAAGCGUGGGUAGCAAACAGG